Molecule: ribosomal RNA, 2673 nt
Filed under: Salmonella enterica subsp. enterica serovar Enteritidis
Lineage: Bacteria; Pseudomonadati; Pseudomonadota; Gammaproteobacteria; Enterobacterales; Enterobacteriaceae
Description: partial 23S ribosomal RNA
Rfam family: Bacterial large subunit ribosomal RNA
Source: RNAcentral
AAUCCAUAGGUUAAUGAGGCGAACCGGGGGAACUGAAACAUCUAAGUACCCCGAGGAAAAGAAAUCAACCGAGAUUCCCCCAGUAGCGGCGAGCGAACGGGGAGGAGCCCAGAGCCUGAAUCAGCAUGUGUGUUAGUGGAAGCGUCUGGAAAGGCGCGCGAUACAGGGUGACAGCCCCGUACACAAAAGCGCAUGUGCUGUGAGCUCGAUGAGUAGGGCGGGACACGUGGUAUCCUGUCUGAAUAUGGGGGGACCAUCCUCCAAGGCUAAAUACUCCUGACUGACCGAUAGUGAACCAGUACCGUGAGGGAAAGGCGAAAAGAACCCCGGCGAGGGGAGUGAAAAAGAACCUGAAACCGUGUACGUACAAGCAGUGGGAGCACCCUUUGGGUGUGACUGCGUACCUUUUGUAUAAUGGGUCAGCGACUUAUAUUCUGUAGCAAGGUUAACCGAAUAGGGGAGCCGGAGGGAAACCGAGUCUUAACCGGGCGUUAAGUUGCAGGGUAUAGACCCGAAACCCGGUGAUCUAGCCAUGGGCAGGUUGAAGGUUGGGUAACACUAACUGGAGGACCGAACCGACUAAUGUUGAAAAAUUAGCGGAUGACCUGUGGCUGGGGGUGAAAGGCCAAUCAAACCGGGAGAUAGCUGGUUCUCCCCGAAAGCUAUUUAGGUAGCGCCUCGUGAAUUCAUCUCCGGGGGUAGAGCACUGUUUCGGCUAGGGGGCCAUCCCGGCUUACCAACCCGAUGCAAACUGCGAAUACCGGAGAAUGUUAUCACGGGAGACACACGGCGGGUGCUAACGUCCGUCGUGAAGAGGGAAACAACCCAGACCGCCAGCUAAGGUCCCAAAGUCAUGGUUAAGUGGGAAACGAUGUGGGAAGGCCCAGACAGCCAGGAUGUUGGCUUAGAAGCAGCCAUCAUUUAAAGAAAGCGUAAUAGCUCACUGGUCGAGUCGGCCUGCGCGGAAGAUGUAACGGGGCUAAACCAUGCACCGAAGCUGCGGCAGCGACACUGUGUGUUGUUGGGUAGGGGAGCGUUCUGUAAGCCUGCGAAGGUGGCCUGUGAGGGUUGCUGGAGGUAUCAGAAGUGCGAAUGCUGACAUAAGUAACGAUAAAGCGGGUGAAAAGCCCGCUCGCCGGAAGACCAAGGGUUCCUGUCCAACGUUAAUCGGGGCAGGGUGAGUCGACCCCUAAGGCGAGGCCGAAAGGCGUAGUCGAUGGGAAACGGGUUAAUAUUCCCGUACUUGGUGUUACUGCGAAGGGGGGACGGAGAAGGCUAUGUUGGCCGGGCGACGGUUGUCCCGGUUUAAGCGUGUAGGUGUGUGUUCCAGGUAAAUCCGGUUCACUUUAACACUGAGGCGUGACGACGAGGCACUACGGUGCUGAAGCAACAAAUGCCCUGCUUCCAGGAAAAGCCUCUAAGCAUCAGGUAACAUCAAAUCGUACCCCAAACCGACACAGGUGGUCAGGUAGAGAAUACCAAGGCGCUUGAGAGAACUCGGGUGAAGGAACUAGGCAAAAUGGUGCCGUAACUUCGGGAGAAGGCACGCUGACACGUAGGUGAAGUGAUUUACUCAUGGAGCUGAAGUCAGUCGAAGAUACCAGCUGGCUGCAACUGUUUAUUAAAAACACAGCACUGUGCAAACACGAAAGUGGACGUAUACGGUGUGACGCCUGCCCGGUGCCGGAAGGUUAAUUGAUGGGGUCAGCGCAAGCGAAGCUCCUGAUCGAAGCCCCGGUAAACGGCGGCCGUAACUAUAACGGUCCUAAGGUAGCGAAAUUCCUUGUCGGGUAAGUUCCGACCUGCACGAAUGGCGUAAUGAUGGCCAGGCUGUCUCCACCCGAGACUCAGUGAAAUUGAACUCGCUGUGAAGAUGCAGUGUACCCGCGGCAAGACGGAAAGACCCCGUGAACCUUUACUAUAGCUUGACACUGAACAUUGAGCCUUGAUGUGUAGGAUAGGUGGGAGGCUUUGAAGUGUGGACGCCAGUCUGCAUGGAGCCGACCUUGAAAUACCACCCUUUAAUGUUUGAUGUUCUAACGUGGACCCGUUACCCGGGUUGCGGACAGUGUCUGGUGGGUAGUUUGACUGGGGCGGUCUCCUCCUAAAGAGUAACGGAGGAGCACGAAGGUUGGCUAAUCCUGGUCGGACAUCAGGAGGUUAGUGCAAUGGCAUAAGCCAGCUUGACUGCGAGCGUGACGGCGCGAGCAGGUGCGAAAGCAGGUCAUAGUGAUCCGGUGGUUCUGAAUGGAAGGGCCAUCGCUCAACGGAUAAAAGGUACUCCGGGGAUAACAGGCUGAUACCGCCCAAGAGUUCAUAUCGACGGCGGUGUUUGGCACCUCGAUGUCGGCUCAUCACAUCCUGGGGCUGAAGUAGGUCCCAAGGGUAUGGCUGUUCGCCAUUUAAAGUGGUACGCGAGCUGGGUUUAGAACGUCGUGAGACAGUUCGGUCCCUAUCUGCCGUGGGCGCUGGAGAACUGAGGGGGGCUGCUCCUAGUACGAGAGGACCGGAGUGGACGCAUCACUGGUGUUCGGGUUGUCAUGCCAAUGGCACUGCCCGGUAGCUAAAUGCGGAAGAGAUAAGUGCUGAAAGCAUCUAAGCACGAAACUUGCCCCGAGAUGAGUUCUCCCUGAGACUUAAAGUCUCCUGAAGGAACGUUGAAGACGACGACGU